Molecule: long non-coding RNA, 693 nt
Organism: Alosa sapidissima (American shad)
Lineage: Eukaryota; Metazoa; Chordata; Actinopteri; Clupeiformes; Clupeidae
Exons: 2
Source: RefSeq, a predicted model, not a curated record
UCUUGAUUAUUUAAGUGUUCAGCUGCAUCAUCAAUUAAAACCUGAUCAGAGGCUUGGUCACUGAUCUCAUUUCAAUUAGUGGUAAUUGAGUAGGCCUAUUUAUAGACUACUGAAAGAGUUGUGAGACCAAGGUUAGUCCAGCUUCCUGGUUGUAGGCUACCACUUUUAUAAAAAUGAGGCUUAAACCAAACAGGGGUGUUGGUUUGUUUUUGUGUCUUGUAUUGCUUUACAUUGGCCAAACAUGUGGUAUAAGCCUCGAAAUAGUGCAAAGAGACGAGCUGCAUCGUAAGGAAAGGUCCGAGAACAUUCACACUGGGACAAUUACUUUCGGCACAGGGAAUAUUUCACUGGGUCGAAAUCUGGAAUAUGAGGGACGAUCUGUUGGAGAAAACACUGCAGACGAUGGCUCCGUUAACUUUCAAGCAGACGAUCCACAUCCUGGCCUGGUGGGUGGACAAAGCACCACUGAAGACUUUAAGGCUUGGCAUCGUAUGCAACCAAAUUUAUUAUGUACUAAUGACCUCAUGGAGUUCUCUGCAAAAGGCCCUGGAUGUUCUUCACUCCAGUUAGACAGAGGUGGCACGCCUCUCUCACUAAGCCAGCUACCAGGAGACUGUGGCUACUCUGUGAAAAGGACUGCAGUGGGCCUUGUGUUUGUCGCCCCAUUUGAUGGUUGUGAUGUUAUAAAACAGG